UGGAAGUGCUCAUUUGCGAGCUUUGUUUUGAUGGUCGUGGAUAAUUAGUUGGAUUAUAUUUCAAAUAAACUAUCAUGAGGAAGACUACUCUUUUGAAAUCGGUGUUUUAGUGCUUCACGUAUUUUUCACACCUGUGGCGGGGUUUCCUAUCUUACCUAAGAGUGUAAUGCUUUAUCUACGAUAUUAGCAGUUGAAUGUCAUUAACAAUUUUGAUGGUUAGAUCACUAAUGUUUUAUGUUAGCCUACAGCUCGGGCACGAUGGAUUGCCAUGUGCAGGGGCACGACACGGUAGAACAACCCUUUUUUAGAGCGUUCUCAUGGGGCAUUUGGCUAGCCUAAAUCGCCACUUUGGGACAUACUCAUGGACUACUCCAAGAGAGUGAGGAGCUUAGGCGUGUUGCUGUUGGAGCUCUUGUCGGAGUCUCUCGGGCUGAGGCUAGACAACCUCCAGGGAUGGACUGCUUAGAGGGCCUUGUGGUUAAAUGCCACUACUACCACAUUCGAGGCCUCCAAGUCCUUCAUGACAAUCGCCGCCGCCACCUCCGUUGUCCUCGGGGAAAAUUGCACCUGAAAUUCUUUUCGAAGGGUAUUGACAAAAGUAUCACAAGUACAUACCCUAUUAUUGUCGAAUACGAAGUACUGGUCAAGUAUUGAUUCAGCCAAAAUUUAUGCGAAAAACAAAGGCACCGUCUUGGGGAUAUGAGGAGAUACUUAGCUUUCUCCUAAUGGUUCGCUGGGUUAUGUGUGCUGCCUAUACUCUUGGGUGGAUACUCUUUGCCUGGGGAUUUCUUGCUCUUCGCUAGCAGUUCGAUAAUGCGGUGGAUGCUGAUGAUGUCUGUCCCUCUUAUUUCUUCCAUUCAGCUUAUAACGAAUGAAAGGUUCAAAGACAUCAAGGACGGAGUAUUAGCAAGCGCGAGAAUCUUGGUGGUGUGCUUUUUCAGCACGAGCUUCCAGUCGUCAUUGAAGCUUUUUGGGCCUAUUAGGGAACUGUCGUUCGAGGACAGUCCUCCAAUCUACAAAGAGACCACAGUGAGGGACUAUCUUGCCCACUUCAAUGAACAUGGCCUUGAUGAAACUCCCCCUCUCAAACACUUCAAGCUGUGAACUCUAUAUUUUCUGAAAAGAAGAGAUGCAGAAUCCUUCUUGAGCAAUUAGUGUCGUCAGUUCAAGUUUUAGAAUUUCAAUUUGCUCAGUAGCCAUUUGUAUUGAUUGUGUAUGGAACAGGAUUUUUUUUUUCAUGCUACCAUUGUGUCGAAGGACCAUAUUGAGAGCCUA
Eucalyptus grandis is the source of this 1275-nucleotide long non-coding RNA. RefSeq lists it as uncharacterized. The record is from RefSeq and is a predicted model, not a curated record. NCBI's taxonomy places the organism in Eukaryota, Viridiplantae, Streptophyta, Magnoliopsida, Myrtales, Myrtaceae. The transcript has 2 exons.